AAGUCGUAACAAGGUUUCCGUAGGUGAACCUGCGGAAGGAUCAUUAUUGAAUUAUAGACCCUGACUGUCGCUGACCCUCCGGGGUAUGUGCACGUCUGUGGUCAAUUCUCCUUCUUCACCCUGUGCACCUUUGCGUGGAUCCAUCGGCCGUCACCUUUGGGUCUGCGUUUCUUAUCAAACUCUUUUGUAUGUCUCAGAAUGUCCUCUUGCGAUAAACCGCAUUUAAUACAACUUUCAACAACGGAUCUCUUGGCUCUC
This 258-nucleotide unclassified non-coding RNA is filed under the name fungal sp. Its description in RNAcentral is "partial internal transcribed spacer region". The stretch from base 1 to 46 matches the Rfam family "Eukaryotic small subunit ribosomal RNA", at positions 1786 to 1831 of the family's 1831-position model. The record is from RNAcentral. Lineage: Eukaryota; Fungi.